Phacochoerus africanus (Common warthog) is the source of this 1279-nucleotide long non-coding RNA. RefSeq lists it as uncharacterized. The record is from RefSeq and is a predicted model, not a curated record. The transcript is spliced from 3 exons. NCBI's taxonomy places the organism in Eukaryota, Metazoa, Chordata, Mammalia, Artiodactyla, Suidae.
AAUCAAGGUGUUGGUCAAUUUGGUCCCUGGAGAGAUCUCUCUUUCUGGUUUACAGAUGGCUGCUUUCUUGUUGUAUUCUCACACAGUAGAAAGAGAGAUUAUUUCCCUUUUGUGAUGGCUUCACUCUCAACAACUUAAUUACCUUCCUAAGGCCCCACCUCUAAAUAUCUUGGCUUUGGGGUUUAAUGUUCAACGUACGAAUUUUGAAGGAAGACAAAGAAUCAGUCCAAAGCAGCCUCCUUCAGGAGGUGAAGGUUGUCUUCUGAGAGAUCAUCUGAAGUGGAAAUGUGGCCUCCAGACACAAUUUGCUUUUUGGGGAUGACAUCAACUCAUGUUAUAAGAGCAGGAUAUAUUGACAACUGGAGUUUUAAAGGACCUACCAAAAGAGCUUCCUUGGGUUGCUAACCAAGAGAGAACUUCGAGGACUGCACUACAGAAAUUAUUGCAUUAUAUAGAUGCAGAUCAAUCCUAGAGUAUCACCCCUAACACCAUUUCCUGAGCGAAGAUUUACUGAGUGCUACUACGUGCAGGACCCUGUGAGGCAAUGAGAAGACGGAAGACCCCACAGACCCAGGAAUGUGGUAACGCGCAAUGGCUUCUAAAUCAGCUGGAACUCAAUUCCUGGAAGUUGCCUAAGAACACUUUGUUGCGUCUAACCAGCAGGCAUGCCGACAAGAGUUGGCUCGGCUUUUCCCACCUGUUCUUCAAGCAAGGACAUCAGCUUGGCUAAAUGGGGCCUUCAGCAAGAAAAACAAAACAAAACAAAAACCUAGCAAGUUCCCAUGGGCCUUAGAAACAAUCCGCUCUGCUUCUCUACUUCUUGGAAAAUAAGGUGUAUUUGAAUGUCAAGCCCUUUGUUUCUCUCCAAAUACCUCCUGGAGGGGGCUUCCCUUUGACCUGUCCCAGUUUAAGGGAGAGAGCACAUCUCAGAGGUCAAGAUCAUGACCUUGGAGUAAGACAGCUUUGUGUUUCAUUCUCUACUCUGUGGCCUCAGGCAAGUUACUUUAUUUCUAAGUUUCCUCAUUUGUAAAAUGAGACUAUCAAUCAAUUAUUACCUUAUUGGAUUUAGGUUAGAGUUAAUGAGGUCAUGCAUAGAAUACUCAGCAUUGUGCCUAGCCUAGUCAAUAUUAGUAAAGUGUUGUUAUUCUUACAAUAAUAACUACUAGUUUUAGUUUUAGUGCCAGAAUUAUACCAAAGAAUCAAUUCAUCAGAUUCUGUCUUAUGAAGUUGACAGCAACACCUAACACAAUGACAGCAAUUACUGAGCCAACAGUGAGGU